UACGUAGGCAGCAAGCGUUGUUCGGAGUUACUGGGCGUAAAGGGUGUGUAGGCGGUUGUUUAAGUUUGGUGUGAAAUCUCCCGCUCAACUGGGAGGGUGCGCCGAAUACUGAAUGACUCGAGUGCGGGAGAGGAAAGUGGAAUUCCUGGUGUAGCGGUGAAAUGCGUAGAUAUCAGGAGGAACACCGGUGGUGUAGACGGCUUUCUGGACCGUAACUGACGC
Molecule: ribosomal RNA, 222 nt
Filed under: uncultured bacterium
Lineage: Bacteria
Description: partial 16S ribosomal RNA
Rfam family: Bacterial small subunit ribosomal RNA
Source: RNAcentral